RNAcentral lists this ribosomal RNA (253 nucleotides) under uncultured bacterium. RNAcentral describes it as "partial 16S ribosomal RNA". It matches the Rfam family "Bacterial small subunit ribosomal RNA", at positions 524 to 776 of the family's 1533-position model. The record is from RNAcentral.
UACGUAGGGCGCAAGCGUUGUCCGGAAUUAUUGGGCGUAAAGAGCUCGUAGGCGGUUUGUCGCGUCUGCUGUGAAAACCUAAGGCUCAACCUUGGGCUUGCAGUGGGUACGGGCAGACUAGAGUGCGGUAGGGGUGACUGGAAUUCCUGGUGUAGCGGUGGAAUGCGCAGAUAUCAGGAGGAACACCGAUGGCGAAGGCAGGUCACUGGGCCGCAACUGACGCUGAGGCGCGAAAGCAUGGGGAGCGAACAGG